ACGCAGCAUUAUUUCUUUAGAGCGGCUAAGC
Molecule: unclassified non-coding RNA, 31 nt
Filed under: Mus musculus (house mouse)
Lineage: Eukaryota; Metazoa; Chordata; Mammalia; Rodentia; Muridae
Description: oocyte_clustered_small_RNA1086
Source: RNAcentral